UACAGAGGGUGCAAGCGUUGUUCGGAAUUAUUGGGCGUAAAGGGCGCGUAGGCGGUGCGGUAAGUCUGUAGUGAAAUCUCUGGGCUCAACUCAGAGUCUGCUGCAGAAACUGCCGUGCUUGAGUGUGGGAGAGGUGAGUGGAAUUCCCGGUGUAGCGGUGAAAUGCGUUGAGAUCGGAAGGAACGCCCGUGGCGAAAGUGAGGUCCUGGACGCCUACUGACGCUGAGACGCGAAAGCCAGGGGAGCGAACGGG
This 253-nucleotide ribosomal RNA is filed under the name uncultured bacterium. RNAcentral describes it as "partial 16S ribosomal RNA". It matches the Rfam family "Bacterial small subunit ribosomal RNA", at positions 524 to 776 of the family's 1533-position model. The record is from RNAcentral.